AUCUUCAGGGCCGUGUGAAAGUCACGACCGGCGGUACAGCCCGCGAGCCGGAAGGCAUGAUUCGGUGAAACUCCGAAGCCGACAGUAAAGUCUGGAUGAAAGAAGAU
RNAcentral lists this non-coding RNA (107 nucleotides) under [Eubacterium] saphenum. Its description in RNAcentral is "FMN riboswitch (RFN element)". It matches the Rfam family "FMN riboswitch aptamer (RFN element)". Rfam says of the family: The RFN element is a highly conserved domain that is found frequently in the 5'-untranslated regions of prokaryotic mRNAs that encode for flavin mononucleotide (FMN) biosynthesis and transport proteins. This element is a metabolite-dependent riboswitch that directly binds FMN in the absence of proteins. Lineage: Bacteria; Bacillati; Bacillota; Clostridia; Peptostreptococcales; Anaerovoracaceae. The record is from RNAcentral. RNAcentral also lists the same sequence under 1 other name.